This 64-nucleotide transfer RNA is filed under the name Hylobius abietis (large pine weevil). RNAcentral describes it as "tRNA-Pro". Lineage: Eukaryota; Metazoa; Arthropoda; Insecta; Coleoptera; Curculionidae. RNAcentral also lists the same sequence under 1 other name. The record is from RNAcentral.
CAGGAAAUAGUUUUUAAAAUAUUAAUUUUGGAGAUUAAAGUUAGAGAAAAGUCUCUUUUCCUGA